Molecule: microRNA precursor, 157 nt
Filed under: Oryza sativa Indica Group (long-grained rice)
Lineage: Eukaryota; Viridiplantae; Streptophyta; Magnoliopsida; Poales; Poaceae
Description: MIR812 microRNA precursor family
Rfam family: MIR812 microRNA precursor family
Source: Rfam by way of RNAcentral
AAGAAGUACAGUUUUAGCACUGUUAAUGUUCAACAUUUGACCGUUCGUUUUAUUUGAAAAAGAUUAUGAUUAGUAUUUUUAUUGUUAUUAGAUGAUAAAACAUGAAUAAGACGGAUGGUCAAAGCACUAAACACGAAUAUUUAUGGCUACACUUAUU